GGCUGCUGCUCCUGCACCCGCACUGCAGGGCCUGACGAGGGCGGGAAGGUGCGGGCCGGCCUUGGGGCUGCACCUCAGCCUCCCUGGGGGUUCUGUGAACAACCUCGUGGUGUCUUGGAUACGCAGUAAACAGCACAUUUAAUGUGCUUCGUGCAGACAUCGGCAUGCUUUCCGUCACCGUGCUGCGGGCGGGCUUGCACUCCUGUGACUUACGUAAAUGGAAUCGCCCUUCUCCGGCCUCUUCCCUGGAGUGGCUAUUUUGAGACUGGGUCCUGCCCUCUGCGCCCAGUGGCCUCUGCUCCCCAGCCACACUGGCUCCUCUGGUUUGGGACCCUUCAGGAGCGCUGAAGUGCGCGGACCCGUCCUGGACAACGUGUUUUCUUGAGUGAACACCUUGUGGGGUGUGAAACCAUGCGACUGCUGACCUCUGACUCUUGACGCUGCCUCACGGACCCCAAAAACCAUCCUCGCCGACCGGAAACAGAUGGUGGAUUUUGUUUUUUCUGCAUCAACUGACAUUGUCUGCUGCAUUCUGAUAGUAUGGUGAAUAACAUGGAGACUAAGUUUAACCCUGUCUUCUUGGGGCUCUCCAACUGGAAACCAAAGUCACUGGCCUCUAUCAGCGCUGUGAACUUCCCUCCAGGGACUACUACAACUACAUCCCAGGAUUUUGAUGUCUU
Molecule: long non-coding RNA, 680 nt
Organism: Fukomys damarensis (Damara mole-rat)
Lineage: Eukaryota; Metazoa; Chordata; Mammalia; Rodentia; Bathyergidae
Exons: 3
Source: RefSeq, a predicted model, not a curated record